This 911-nucleotide ribosomal RNA is filed under the name Bacteroides thetaiotaomicron. RNAcentral's name for it is "bacterial SSU rRNA". It matches the Rfam family "Bacterial small subunit ribosomal RNA", at positions 8 to 910 of the family's 1533-position model. The record is from RNAcentral. Lineage: Bacteria; Pseudomonadati; Bacteroidota; Bacteroidia; Bacteroidales; Bacteroidaceae.
AGAGUUUGAUCCUGGCUCAGGAUGAACGCUAGCUACAGGCUUAACACAUGCAAGUCGAGGGGCAGCAUUUCAGUUUGCUUGCAAACUGGAGAUGGCGACCGGCGCACGGGUGAGUAACACGUAUCCAACCUGCCGAUAACUCGGGGAUAGCCUUUCGAAAGAAAGAUUAAUACCCGAUGGUAUAAUCAGACCGCAUGGUCUUGUUAUUAAAGAAUUUCGGUUAUCGAUGGGGAUGCGUUCCAUUAGGCAGUUGGUGAGGUAACGGCUCACCAAACCUUCGAUGGAUAGGGGUUCUGAGAGGAAGGUCCCCCACAUUGGAACUGAGACACGGUCCAAACUCCUACGGGAGGCAGCAGUGAGGAAUAUUGGUCAAUGGGCGCAGGCCUGAACCAGCCAAGUAGCGUGAAGGAUGACUGCCCUAUGGGUUGUAAACUUCUUUUAUAUGGGAAUAAAGUUUUCCACGUGUGGAAUUUUGUAUGUACCAUAUGAAUAAGGAUCGGCUAACUCCGUGCCAGCAGCCGCGGUAAUACGGAGGAUCCGAGCGUUAUCCGGAUUUAUUGGGUUUAAAGGGAGCGUAGGUGGACAGUUAAGUCAGUUGUGAAAGUUUGCGGCUCAACCGUAAAAUUGCAGUUGAUACUGGCUGUCUUGAGUACAGUAGAGGUGGGCGGAAUUCGUGGUGUAGCGGUGAAAUGCUUAGAUAUCACGAAGAACUCCGAUUGCGAAGGCAGCUCACUGGACUGCAACUGACACUGAUGCUCGAAAGUGUGGGUAUCAAACAGGAUUAGAUACCCUGGUAGUCCACACAGUAAACGAUGAAUACUCGCUGUUUGCGAUAUACAGUAAGCGGCCAAGCGAAAGCAUUAAGUAUUCCACCUGGGGAGUACGCCGGCAACGGUGAAACUCAAAGGAAU